CCUAUGCCUUAUAAAUGUAGCCCUACCCUCAACACAUUGCAGCUCUUCACUGCCCAGGGGUCCUGACCCCAUGCUAUUCUCUGAAUAAAAGAGCAUACUACCAGACCAUGAGAGUCCAAGGAAUCUUUCUUUUGACUCCUCGGCUCGCCAAGCCCACAUCAGGCCAGUUGGUAGCAGAAGAGCACAGUGACCUAGGAAGCAAUAUCUUGAAGAUAAGGGAGCCACAAGAGAGAAGGAGCCUGGAUCCCUGAAUCACCACUUGAACAAGAGCCACUUAUAAAUCACAGACAUCAGUUUUGGAUUUAUGUGCAAAGAAACACAGUGACUUGGAAGUCAUUUUUUAAAAUGGCAGAGCCACAAACCAAAGAGAGACUGGGUCUCUAAGUAUCACUUAAAGAAGAACCACUCGCCGAUGUGGAACACUCAUAUUGAACUUCACGUGAAUGAUGAAUAACCUUUGUAAGUUUGAGUUCUGAGGCUUAGUUUUUAUAGCUACUAGUGAUAAUUUGACUUGAGUAAUUGCAAAGUAACAUUAAGUGAAUAGUUAUAAUCAAAGUAGUGUGCUAUACUACUUUAUAAGAAUAAGAACUGUGAUCAGAGAAGGUGUUGUUUUUAACCAUUAAUUUUUAUGACUAUUGAUCUCUUCUUAUCUUUAUUACCUCAUCUCAAAAAUGAGUAUCUGUCCCAUUUGGAUGAUGUAACUCCUAAGAAAGAAAUGUAAAGCACUUAGCCUCAUGUUAUGUUCAUAAGGAAACUUUUCAUAAAAGUUUGUUAUUAUUAAAUUAUAACAAUAAAUUAAAUUAUAAAUAUUGUGAAAAAAUUAAAUAUUGGGUAUUUAUGCACAUGUAAAGGCACAUAAAAAGGAGCCAAUUUAUUUUGUUCACUAGAAAUAAUCACUUUAUGAGAAAAAUCAUAAGGUAGAAACUCAAGUAGAGCAUGAAAUAAGAGGCAUUUUCUUCCCCAUGUACCAUUGAUGUUCAAUUUCCUCUUCUCACUGGAAAAUCCCUUAGCCAAGAAUUUAAGACUAAGCAUUGUUUUAAGCACAUUGGAUUAAGUGAUUAAGCAUACUGCUUCUUAUCAUAUAUACCUCAGUUCAGUGUCUCACAAUAUAAGACAACCAGUCAAUUAACCUAUCCAAUACGUAUUCAUUGAGCAUCAACCAAGUUCUUAUUUUCUCCAGAAAUUUUUAAAAAGCAAUUCCUUCUCAUUAUCCUCACUUCUAUAUAGUAUAAUGGAUAUUCUUUCCAAAGGUUUUUUUUCCCCUGCAUAUCACUAUGUACGACGAGUAUACACACGAAGUACAUAAAACACACUCACCUUUGAUAUUUAGUGCAACUUCAUAAGUUCUAGUAAGUUGCAUUUUAAUUUAAAUAUGGACAUUACCAUUUUCUCACUUUAAAUAUUUCCAAGUGUACUUACAGUAUUCAAAUUAUAUAAAGGUAACAUAUUUUAUGCUCAUAUAUCAUGAAUAAAAAACUGUUUAAUGCAUAUACAGCUGAAAAGGCAUUUAGAAAUUUUACUUAGUUAAGUUAGCCCACUCAAACAGAACUACAUGAGUUUGGAGUUUCCAUUAAGCUCAAAUAAUUUGAAGAAAAAUAAAAAUGUCAAUCAAUAGGUUCAUUUGAGCUACGUGAUGCCAGAAAAGUGAUUGAGCUGAUUUUAUUCUUUGAAUUGACAGUAUGGAGUUUUUACUAUUGACUGAAAGUAGCAGAUGUUUUGGCAUAAUGUAGAGACAAUUAAAGCAUCCUGAACAGAUGAAACUCCCAUCUUAUUUUCAAAGACAUGUGAGAAGGAUUUGACAACUUCAUUUGGAAAGAAAUUAUAAUAUUUAAUGACUACCACUCUUUGGAAAGCUUUCUUAGAUCUAUUCUAAGUCUCCCACUAUUUACUUGAAAAUCUGAUUUUUUUUAUUCUGUUUCUAAUAAAAUUUGAGAGCAUGCAUUUUAGCUCUCAUGUAAAAUUCUUUUGCAUGCCAUUUCUCAUAUACCACUACAGCCUUUAGGUACUCAAUAUGAAUAUUAUGCUCAUAUAUUGAUUCUUUGUUCAUUUAAUAUAUAUUUAUCAUCUAUUCACAAGACAUUGUACUAGAUGCUUUAGAAAAUCCAUAAAUUCCUUCAACAUAUGUUUAAUAUCAUAGAAAAGCUAACCUGCGACCAUUUAUAUCUACAAUUAAUGAGCAAAAAUUCUCUUUGUUAAUAUUUAUCAUAUUUGUUAUUACUUGUUCAAUAUCCACUUUCUCUGCUGGGCUAUGGACUCCACACAUGUAAGGACUGAGUCUAGUAUGUUUGUGGCACAAAAUAGUUACAGAAUAAAUAUUUCUUGAAUGAACAAAUGGUUUAAUAAACAAACUUUGUAUAAACUGUAUUGAUAUCAUAUUAUAUUUAACAUUCUUAAUUAUCUUGAAUUAUGUUUUAUAUUUUGGAUAAAUGACAUUUAAGGGAGGUUUUCUACCUUUAUUUCAUAUGUUUAAGUCUCGGGAAGAAAUAAAAUACCAAGUUGAGGCUAUGACUAGGUAGUGAAUCUGUGGUGUUAGUUGAUCCUUGGUUUGUCACAUUACUAAAAAUGUAGUUAUAUCUUAAAUUGAGGAGCAGUUAAUUCAGAAUACUCAAAUGACAAUAGCUUGUUUUGGAAUAUUGGUAGUUUCACAGUGACUUGUCCUAUAUAGGUCAUUGCUUUGAAUCUUAUAGCUACUUUCUGAUCAUAUAUUUAAGUACAAAAUUCUUUGCAACAUACCAAAUAAAUCAAGAAAAUAGAAAUUUGAUUUGCCUUAGAUGAAUUCUUAACAAUAUAUUUCCUAAUUUUAGAAAUAAGCUAAGCAAUUUUAUAUAAAACUAAUACUGAUAUAUUUUUCCUUGGCAUUCUUA
Long non-coding RNA from Equus caballus (horse), 2864 nucleotides. Lineage: Eukaryota; Metazoa; Chordata; Mammalia; Perissodactyla; Equidae. The record is from Ensembl.